This 453-nucleotide ribosomal RNA is filed under the name uncultured Desulfobulbaceae bacterium. RNAcentral's name for it is "bacterial SSU rRNA". It matches the Rfam family "Bacterial small subunit ribosomal RNA", at positions 29 to 478 of the family's 1533-position model. Lineage: Bacteria; Pseudomonadati; Thermodesulfobacteriota; Desulfobulbia; Desulfobulbales; Desulfobulbaceae. The record is from RNAcentral.
AACGAACGCUGGCGGCGUGCUUAACACAUGCAAGUCGAACGCGAAAGUUUUCUUCGGAAGACGAGUAGAGUGGCGCACGGGUGAGUAACGCGUAAGUAAUCUGCCCUGGUAUCUGGGAUAACCCACCGAAAGGUGUGCUAAUACCGGAUACGCUGAGCAAUCAGGAAAGGUGGCCUCUUCAUGAAAGCUACUGUACCAGGAGGAGCUUGCGUACCAUUAGCUAGUUGGUAGGGUAAUGGCCUACCAAGGCAACGAUGGUUAGCGGGUCUGAGAGGAUGAUCCGCCACACUGGAACUGAAACACGGACCAGACUCCUACGGGAGGCAGCAGUGAGGAAUAUUGCGCAAUGGGGGAAACCCUGACGCAGCGACGCCGCGUGGAUGAUGAAGGCCUUCGGGUCGUAAAAUCCUGUCAGAUGGAAAGAAAUGUAUGGUGGCUAAUACCUGCCAUAUU